RNAcentral lists this transfer RNA (76 nucleotides) under Rhodospirillales bacterium. RNAcentral describes it as "tRNA-Val". It matches the Rfam family "tRNA". Rfam says of the family: Transfer RNA (tRNA) molecules are approximately 80 nucleotides in length. Their secondary structure includes four short double-helical elements and three loops (D, anti-codon, and T loops). Lineage: Bacteria; Pseudomonadati; Pseudomonadota; Alphaproteobacteria; Rhodospirillales. The record is from RNAcentral.
GGGCGGUUAGCUCAGUUGGUAGAGCGCCACGUUUACACCGUGGAAGUCGGCGGUUCGAGCCCGUCACCGCCCACCA